This 327-nucleotide ribosomal RNA is filed under the name uncultured Chloroflexota bacterium. RNAcentral describes it as "bacterial SSU rRNA". It matches the Rfam family "Bacterial small subunit ribosomal RNA", at positions 28 to 351 of the family's 1533-position model. Lineage: Bacteria; Bacillati; Chloroflexota. The record is from RNAcentral.
GAUAAACGCUGGCGGCGUGCCUAAUACAUGCAAGUCGAACGAAGAGCGUUGGCUUCGGUUGAUGCUCUUAGUGGCGAAUGGGUGAGUAACGCGUUGGUGACCUGCCCCGAAGUGGGGAAUAACAGUUCGAAAGGAUUGCUAAUACCACAUGUGGUCCUCGGAUUUAGAAACCGAUGACUAAAGCAGCAAUGCGCUUUGGGAGGGACCUGCGUCCCAUCAGCUAGUUGGUGAGGUAACGGCCCACCAAGGCUACGACGGGUAGGGGACCUGAGAGGGUGGCCCCCCACAAUGGAACUGAAACACGGUCCAUACACCUACGGGUGGCAG